GUAGGUGGCAAGCGUUGUCCGGAAUUAUUGGGCGUAAAGCGCGCGCAGGUGGUUCUUUAAGUCUGAUGUGAAAGCCCCCGGGCUCAACCGGGGAGGGUCAUUGGAAACUGGGGAACUUGAGUGCAGGAGAGGAAAGUGGAAUUCCACGUGUAGCGGUGAAAUGCGUAGAUAUGUGGAGGACACCAGUGGCGAAGGCGACUUUCUGGCCUGUAACUGACACUGAGGCGCGAAAGCGUGGGGAGCAAACAGGAUUAGAUACCCUGGUAGUCCACGCCGUAAACGAUGAGUGCUAAGUGUUGGGGGGUUUCCGCCCCUCAGUGCUGCAGCUAACGCAUUAAGCACUCCGCCUGGGGAGUACGGUCGCAAAGACUG
RNAcentral lists this ribosomal RNA (372 nucleotides) under uncultured organism. Its description in RNAcentral is "partial 16S ribosomal RNA". It matches the Rfam family "Bacterial small subunit ribosomal RNA", at positions 527 to 896 of the family's 1533-position model. The record is from RNAcentral.